GACGAACGCUGGCGGCGUGCCUAAUACAUGCAAGUCGAACGCACAGUUUAUACCGUAGCUUGCUCCACCAUAGACUGUGAGUUGCGAACGGGUGAGUAACGCGUAGGUAACCUGCCUGGUAGCGGGGGAUAACUAUUGGAAACGAUAGCUAAUACCGCAUAAUAUUGAUUAUUGCAUGAUAAUUGAUUGAAAGAUGCUAUUGCAUCACUACCAGAUGGACCUGCGUUGUAUUAGCUAGUAGGUGAGGUAACGGCUCACCUAGGCGACGAUACAUAGCCGACCUGAGAGGGGGAUCGGCCAAACUGGGACUGAGACACGGCCCAGACUCCUACGGGAGGCAGCAGGAGGGAAUCUUCGGCAAUGGACGAAAGUCUGACCGAGCAACGCCGCGUGAGGGAAGAAGGGUGUCGGAUCGUAAAGCUCUGUUGUAAGAGAAGAACGGGUGUGAGAGUGGAAAGUUCACACUGUGACGGUAUCUGACCAGAAAGGGACGGCUAACUACGUG
Molecule: ribosomal RNA, 505 nt
Filed under: uncultured bacterium
Lineage: Bacteria
Description: partial 16S ribosomal RNA
Rfam family: Bacterial small subunit ribosomal RNA
Source: RNAcentral